GACGAACGCUGGCGGCGUGCUUAACACAUGCAAGUCGAACGAAGAGCGACGGAAGCUUGCUUCUAUCAAUCUUAGUGGCGAACGGGUGAGUAACGCGUAAUCAACCUGCCCUUCAGAGGGGGACAACAGUUGGAAACGACUGCUAAUACCGCAUACGAUCUAAUCUCGGCAUCGAGGAUGGAUGAAAGGUGGCCUCUACAUGUAAGCUAUCACUGAAGGAGGGGAUUGCGUCUGAUUAGCUAGUUGGAGGGGUAACGGCCCACCAAGGCGAUGAUCAGUAGCCGGUCUGAGAGGAUGAACGGCCACAUUGGGACUGAGACACGGCCCAGACUCCUACGGGAGGCAGCAGUGGGGAAUCUUCCGCAAUGGACGAAAGUCUGACGGAGCAACGCCGCGUGAGUGAUGACGGCCUUCGGGUUGUAAAGCCCUGUUAAUCGGGACGAAAGGCCUUCUUGCGAAUAGGGAGAAGGAUUGACGGUACCGGAAUAGAAAGCCACGGCUAACUACGUG
Molecule: ribosomal RNA, 510 nt
Filed under: uncultured bacterium
Lineage: Bacteria
Description: partial 16S ribosomal RNA
Rfam family: Bacterial small subunit ribosomal RNA
Source: RNAcentral